GAUGAACGCUGGCGGCGUGCCUAAUACAUGCAAGUCGAGCGAACGGACGAGAAGCUUGCUUCUCUGAUGUUAGCGGCUGACGGGUGAGUAACACGUGGAUAACCUACCUAUAAGACUGGGAUAACUUCGGGAAACCGGAGCUAAUACCGGAUAAUAUUUUGAACCGCAUGGUUCAAAAGUGAAAGACGGUCUUGCUGUCACUUAUAGAUGGAUCCGCGCUGCAUUAGCUAGUUGGUAAGGUAACGGCUUACCAAGGCAACGAUGCAUAGCCGACCUGAGAGGGUGAUCAGCCACACUGGAACUGAGACACGGUCCAGACUCCUACGGGAGGCAGCAGUAGGGAAUCUUCCGCAAUGGGCGAAAGCCUGACGGAGCAACGCCGCGUGAGUGAUGAAGGUCUUCGGAUCGUAAAACUCUGUUAUUAGGGAAGAACAUAUGUGGAAGUAACUGUGCACAUCUUGACGGUACCUAAUCAGAAAGCCACGGCUAACUACGUG
Molecule: ribosomal RNA, 497 nt
Filed under: uncultured bacterium
Lineage: Bacteria
Description: partial 16S ribosomal RNA
Rfam family: Bacterial small subunit ribosomal RNA
Source: RNAcentral